RNAcentral lists this ribosomal RNA (502 nucleotides) under uncultured bacterium. RNAcentral's name for it is "bacterial SSU rRNA". It matches the Rfam family "Bacterial small subunit ribosomal RNA", at positions 28 to 528 of the family's 1533-position model. The record is from RNAcentral.
GAUGAACGCUAGCGGCAGGCCUAACACAUGCAAGUCGAGGGGUAGGGUUAGCUUGCUAACUUGAGACCGGCGCACGGGUGCGUAACGCGUAUGCAAUCUACCUUGUACAGAGGGAUAGCCCAGAGAAAUUUGGAUUAAUACCUCAUAGUAUCUUUACCUGGCAUCGGGUAAUUAUUAAAGUUCCAACGGUACAAGAUGAGCAUGCGUCCCAUUAGUUAGUUGGUAAGGUAACGGCUUACCAAGACAAUGAUGGGUAGGGGUCCUGAGAGGGAGAUCCCCCACACUGGUACUGAGACACGGACCAGACUCCUACGGGAGGCAGCAGUGAGGAAUAUUGGUCAAUGGACGCAAGUCUGAACCAGCCAUGCCGCGUGCAGGAAGACGGUCCUAUGGAUUGUAAACUGCUUUUAUACAGGAAGAAACAACUCUACGUGUAGAGUCUUGACGGUACUGUAGGAAUAAGGAUCGGCUAACUCCGUGCCAGCAGCCGCGGUAAAGUCAG